UGGGGAAUAUUGCACAAUGGGCGCAAGCCUGAUGCAGCCAUGCCGCGUGUAUGAAGAAGGCCUUCGGGUUGUAACGUACUUUCAGCGGGGAGGAAGGCGAUAAGGUUAAUAACCUUGUCGAUUGACGUUACCCGCAGAAGAAGCAGCGGCUAACUCCGUGCCAGCAGCCGCGGUAAUACGGAGGGUGCAAGCGUUAAUCGGAAUUACUGGGCGUAAAGCGCACGCAGGCGGUCUGUCAAGUCGGAUGUGAAAUCCCCGGGCUCAACCUGGGAACUGCAUUCGAAACUGGCAGGCUAGAGUCUUGUAGAGGGGGGUAGAAUUCCAGGUGUAGCGGUGAAAUGCGUAGAGAUCUGGAGGAAUACCGGUGGCGAAGGCGGCCCCCUGGACAAAGACUGACGCUCAGGUGCGAAAGCGUGGGGAGCAAACA
RNAcentral lists this ribosomal RNA (427 nucleotides) under uncultured bacterium. Its description in RNAcentral is "partial 16S ribosomal RNA". It matches the Rfam family "Bacterial small subunit ribosomal RNA", at positions 355 to 774 of the family's 1533-position model. The record is from RNAcentral.